AUCCUAAACGGUGGAUCACUCGGCUCGUGGAUCGAUGAAGGACGCAGCAAACUGCGCGUCGCAUUGUGAACUGCAGGACACAUGAACAUCGACGCUUC
Molecule: ribosomal RNA, 98 nt
Filed under: Nesobasis recava
Lineage: Eukaryota; Metazoa; Arthropoda; Insecta; Odonata; Coenagrionidae
Description: partial 5.8S ribosomal RNA
Rfam family: 5.8S ribosomal RNA
About the family: 5.8S ribosomal RNA (5.8S rRNA) is a component of the large subunit of the eukaryotic ribosome.
Source: RNAcentral